This 254-nucleotide ribosomal RNA is filed under the name uncultured bacterium. RNAcentral describes it as "partial 16S ribosomal RNA". It matches the Rfam family "Bacterial small subunit ribosomal RNA", at positions 524 to 776 of the family's 1533-position model. The record is from RNAcentral.
GACGAAGGAUGCAAGCGUUAUCCGGAUUCAUUGGGUUUAAAGGGUGCGUAGGCGGACUGAUAAGUCAGUGGUGAAAUCUCUUUGCUUAACAAAGAAACUGCCAUUGAUACUGUCGGUCUAGAGUAUAGAUGACGUUGGCGGAAUAUGACAUGUAGUGGUGAAAUACUUAGAUAUGUCAUAGAACACCGAUUGCGAAGGCAGCUAACGAAAACUAUAACUGACGCUGAGGCACGAAAGUGCGGGGAUCAAACAGG